Molecule: long non-coding RNA, 2088 nt
Filed under: Canis lupus familiaris (dog)
Lineage: Eukaryota; Metazoa; Chordata; Mammalia; Carnivora; Canidae
Description: lncRNA (ENSCAFG00030007716.1)
Source: RNAcentral
GGAGGUGGGGGCGGCGGCGGGGGGGGCGCCGAGGGGCGCAGCGGCGCCGGCCGGCGGGCGGGCGGGGGGCGGGCGGGCGUCCCGGCGCUGCCUCCGCGCUCAGCCCCGGAGCGCAAGUGUCCUCCCGCGCUCGCCGCACGACGGACGCGGAGCCCAGGCAGCCCGGCGCGGUUGCGGCUCGCGGCGUCCCCGGGCUCGGCCCCCCCGCCCCCCCGGCAUCCCGGGCGCCCCCCCCCGCCCCGGCCCUGCCCCCCGCGCCCGGCUCCCGCGGCUCCCGCGGCUCCCGCGGCUCCCGCGCCCGCUCGGGAAGCUAACGGCUCGCCAGCCGAGGCCCCGCGCACGGCCACCUCGCCGCGCGCCCAGACCCCGCGUCCCCCGCGCCCCCGCGCCCCCCGCGCCCCGCGCCCCGCGCCCGCCUCCUACCCUGUGGCCAAAAUCCCGCCCAGAGGCGCGGCGCCGGGCCGGUGCGACACCGCCCCCCCGCCCCGCGCCCCGCGCCCCGCGCCCCGCGCCCCGCGCCCCGCGUCGGAGAGUUGCCGGCGCCCCUGGGCCCCCCGCCCUCGCAGGGCCCGGCGCCCGCGGCCGAGGGGCAGGAGGCGGCGCUCCGCCGCGGUGCUCACCCCGCUCUCCCGGCGCCCGGCUCCGCCCCCGGGCUCGGACGGGGGCGCCCGCUCGGCCGGCCGGCGCGGGGCUGAGGCUCCCGGGGCGGGCGCUGCAGGGCCCCAGCCGAGCUGCCCGUCAGAGCUGCGGUCCGCGGCGGCGGCGCUCGGGCUCUCCGCGUGCUCCGGCGCCCGCCUCCGGCGCCGCCCCCGCCCCGCCCCGGCCCGGCCCCUCGGCGCGCGGCGGCUCGGCUCGGCCCGGACCGCGGCGGGCGCGUGGGGGCGCGUGGGGCCGCCCCGCAGCCGAGCCCCGCAGCCCGUGCCCCGCCGCCCGCGCCCCGCCGCCCGCGCCCCGGGCCCCCGGGCUGUGGUCGGAGCGGCGCGGCCGGAGCCGGGGCCCCGAGGCGGGCAGCUCCACCGGCCUCUGACCCCGGCGCCGCGGGGCUCGCAGGGCUCGCGGGGCUGGGAGGGGGCGGCGAGGCCGGCCUGGCGCCCCCCGCCGGUGCGGCUCCCUCCCCGCCGCCGGGCUCCGCCGGAGGCCGCGCAGCCUCCCGCAGCCUCCGCCCCCGACCGGGACCCGCUCCCCGGGCACCCCGGGCCCCGGUGUCAAGGGAGCGGAGGGCGCGGGCGCGGGCGCGGGCGCGAACGGGAGCUGGCGCGGGGCCCCGGGCCGGGCGGCGCCCCCGAGCUCGCUGGGCCCCGCCCGCUGCAGGCGACCCCGGCCCCGGCCCCGGCCCCGGCCCCGGCCCGCGGCGGCCGCGCCCCCCGCCCCGAGCGCCGCAGCGGCCCCUGCAGGCGCGGGCGGCAGGCCUGGGACCGGCCCUCCCAGGCUGGCGGGGACCGCAAGGGACAGCGGAGGGCGCCCGGCCUGCGCUACCCACGUGCGGCCUUGCGCGAGCCGCACGCCUCUCCCUCUCCGAGGCCGGCCUGGCCCUGCCCCUGCCCCUGCCCCCGCGCUGCUGCGAGUGGCCUGCGGGCUGUGCAGGGCGUCACGCGGGCGCUGCAGGGGCGCGGGCAAGGUCGGGCCUGCGGCUCCUCGCGGGCUCCCCCUCUCCUGCCGACCCCUCCCCGACCCGCUGCCCUUGCCGGCUGCCUUCUUCCAAUGGCUGAAACCCACAGGGCAGAAAGGAUCCCCAGCCUUGUGCCUCGGCCCCACGUGCCCCCCUUUCUGAGUGUUCUUGCCCUGCGGUUGCAGGUUGCGGGCGCUGUCAGCCCCAAUGCACCCGGGGCAGGGAGGCCUGCGCCGCCCCCAGGCGCCCGGGUCAAGGCCCCUCGGGUCAUUUUCCUGAGCGGGUUUUCAUCGUCUGUGUGUUGUCUCUCCGCCCCUGCAUCGCAGCAGCCCCGGCGCGUCAGCUCCACGGGAGCAAGAACUUUGUCUUGGUCACUGCUACGCCGAGGGCCGGGACCCUACCAGUCACCCACCCCCCACCCCCACCCGCGGCCCACCGCAGAUAUCUGUGGGCUCAGCAACAAACGUGCCAUUCUGUAA